CCUACGGGAGGCAGCAGUAAGGAAUAUUGGUCAAUGGGCGCAAGCCUGAACCAGCCAUGCCGCGUGCAGGAUGACGGCCCUCUGGGUUGUAAACUGCUUUUAUACGGGAAGAACAGCAUCUACGUGUAGGUGUUUGACGGUACUGUAAGAAUAAGGACCGGCUAACUUCGUGCCAGCAGCCGCGGUAAUACGAAGGGUCCAAGCGUUAUCCGGAUUUAUUGGGUUUAAAGGGUGCGUAGGCGGCUUUUUAAGUCAGUGGUGAAAGCCUGAUGCUCAACAUCAGAACUGCCAUUGAUACUGAAGAGCUUGAGUACAGUUGAGGUUGGCGGAAUGUGUCAUGUAGCGGUGAAAUGCUUAGAUAUGACACAGAACACCGAUUGCGAAGGCAGCUAGCUAAGCUGUUACUGACGCUGAUGCACGAAAGCGUGGGGAGCAAACAGGAUUAGAUACCCUGGUAGUCCACGCCCUAAACGUUGAUAACUCGUUGUUAGCGAUAUACUGUUAGCGACCAAGCGAAAGCAUUAAGUUAUCCACCUGGGAAGUACGGUCGCAAGAUUGAAACUCAAAUGAGUAGAGCGNGAGAGNGCGAGGACGACGACGAGGGAGGAGG
Molecule: ribosomal RNA, 610 nt
Filed under: uncultured bacterium
Lineage: Bacteria
Description: bacterial SSU rRNA
Rfam family: Bacterial small subunit ribosomal RNA
Source: RNAcentral